Mustela lutreola (European mink) is the source of this 797-nucleotide long non-coding RNA. RefSeq lists it as uncharacterized. The transcript has 3 exons. NCBI's taxonomy places the organism in Eukaryota, Metazoa, Chordata, Mammalia, Carnivora, Mustelidae. The record is from RefSeq and is a predicted model, not a curated record.
UUGUGUGUGGCUGCCUCAUCCAGGCUCCUCAUGACCACUUGGUGGACCACCCCCUGCUUUGAAAAAGCUCUCAACGUGUGCAGAAUGAAUUUAGUACAAUGCAUGACCAAACCUUGAAUGCCAAGAACCUGAGAGUCAGGUGAUAUUAAUCAGGGUUCUCCAGAACCAAUAGAAGAGAGGUAGCUAGGUAGACUUAUUAUAAGCAACUGAUUAUUUAUAUAGAAGCCAGGAAGUCCCACCAUGUGCCACCUAUCAGCUAAAGAACCAGGAAAGUCAGUGGCAUAAUUUAUUUUGAGUCUAAAGGCCCAAGAACCAGGAGUGCUGAUGUCCAAGAAUAGGAGAAAAUAAAUGGAGAAAAGAAGGAGAGAAUACAUUCAUUCUUCCUCAACCUUUUUGCUUUAUUCUGGCCCCCAACAAUUGGAUGACACCCACCCACAUCGAAGACUAACUUGCUACGGUUCAGCUGACCUGUAAGGGCCUAGAAUCACCAAAUCCUAGAGUUGCAGGGACUUCAAAAUCCAUGCCAGAGAUUGUCUCCUGUGUUACUACUGUGUUGUCAGAGGCUACCUGGUAACACCCAGCUGGAACCUGCCCGAGUCUAGCACCUCACUGAGCUCGUGUUAUACAGCCCUCUCACUAUGAGGCCUGGACAGGCAGGCCCAUGCACAGAAAAAAGUGAGCAAAUACAGAUAAGCACAAAGAAGCUAAGAUUGCCCACCACGCAGAGCUCAGAGAUAGCUGCUAUUAACAUCCCUCCGCAUCUUUUUCUUUUCAAGUUUAUACAGUAAUAAUGAUGA